AUCAGAUGCAUGGGGGGCAAGAUGGAGCCCAUGUUCAUUCUGUUGAUCACCAAAAGGAAUUUCUUAAAAAUUCUAAUAGCCAAGCGGUGAUUAAAUAUGAUCUAGGCGACCUAAUUGUUGUUUUUGAGGCUCUUGAUCAUGAGAAUUCAAACCAACAAGUGGUCGUCUAUAAUGGCCAAUCUGUGGCUAAUUCUAUGCCAACAAAGAUACUUGGGGGGCAAGAUUACUCCUCCUACGAGCCAAAUUUUUCCCAAGUUUUCGAUGAGAAGUAUCUUUGUUCUUUUCCUACAAGCUCUCACAGGAGGGAUUUUUACCCUACAAAUUUUGAUACAUCGGAGCUUGGAAUGAAGCAUAGAUGGCCUCCCCCGUGGUCUUCUAGAGGUUAGCCAAACAUGGUGCUGCUAGCUUCUUUCUUUCUUUGCUUUUAAUUUUCUGUUAAUUUUUCGUUUCUAGUUUUCUUUUCAUUAAAAAAUAAAUAAAUAAAUAAAUAAAUAAAAAAAGAGAAAAAUGAAAAUACAAAAAGAGUUCAAGAUUGUGCAUCGCUAGAUGCGAAGGUAGUGUCUGGCCUAGCUGUGGCUUGAACCUAGUUUCUAAUAUAUAUUUGGAGGCCAUUUGACUUUAAUGUCGAGUUAAGAGAUCAUCUAUGGUAAAUCACGAUAAUGCUAAUUGGUAGAUUCUGCGCUAACCGGGGUGCUAACUAUAAAUUCCGCCCUAUAUAGAUAAGAGACCAUGCUAACUAGGAGAUGUUGAAGCUUUGGGACGCAGGGAUCUACACCUGGCAACUUCACCAAGAAGAACUUGACUGGAAAUAGAUGUUUAUCUGAGGCCAAAGUCAAUAAGAUUUGUAAAGCUGCUGAGAAGAUAGUGGUAUGUUCAUACUUUACAAUAGGACAAUAUUGCAACAGAUUCAAGUGCACACCAUGAUGAAGAUGGUAUUGAUGAAGAUGGUGCUGAAGAUGUUGCUGAUGAAGAUGAUGCAAACUCUAAUGAGGACUUCUAUUAGAUAUAUUGUUAGCUUCCUUGCUUAAGAAUGAUUGUGUUAUAAAGACCAAAUUUUGAAUAUUUAUCUUUUUCUGAACAUGUAUGAAUGAUUAACUAUGUUUCUUCUAAUGCCAUUGUUUUUUAUGAACAUUUAAU
Molecule: long non-coding RNA, 1137 nt
Organism: Rosa rugosa (rugosa rose)
Lineage: Eukaryota; Viridiplantae; Streptophyta; Magnoliopsida; Rosales; Rosaceae
Exons: 3
Source: RefSeq, a predicted model, not a curated record